This 432-nucleotide ribosomal RNA is filed under the name uncultured bacterium. RNAcentral describes it as "partial 16S ribosomal RNA". It matches the Rfam family "Bacterial small subunit ribosomal RNA", at positions 29 to 506 of the family's 1533-position model. The record is from RNAcentral.
AACGAACGCUGGCGGCAUGCCUAACACAUGCAAGUCGAACGAAGCCUUCGGGCUUAGUGGCGCACGGGUGCGUAACGCGUGGGAAUCUGCCCCUUGCUUCGGAAUAACAGUUAGAAAUGACUGCUAAUACCGGAUGAAGUCUUCGGACCAAAGAUUUAUCGGCAAGGGAUGAGCCCGCGUAGGAUUAGGUAGUUGGUGGGGUAAAGGCCUACCAAGCCGACGAUCCUUAGCUGGUCUGAGAGGAUGAUCAGCCACACUGGGACUGAGACACGGCCCAGACUCCUAGGGGAGGCAGCAGUGGGGAAUAUUGGAAAAUGGACGCAAGUCUGAUCCAGCAAUGCCGGGUGAGUGAUGAAGGCUUUAGGGUUGUAAAGCUUUUUUACCAGGGAUGAUAAUGACAGUACCUGGAGAAUAAGCCGCGGCUAACCCCGU